RNAcentral lists this ribosomal RNA (479 nucleotides) under uncultured bacterium. RNAcentral describes it as "bacterial SSU rRNA". It matches the Rfam family "Bacterial small subunit ribosomal RNA", at positions 9 to 474 of the family's 1533-position model. The record is from RNAcentral.
GAGUUUGAUCCUGGCUCAGGACGAACGCUGGCGGCGUGCUUAAUACAUGCAAGUCGAGCGAGGUUAUUUUACUGCGUUUCUUCGGAAGCAAAGUUUCUUAACCUAGCGGCGGAUGGGUGAGUAACGCGUGGGUAACCUACCCUAAAGUUCGGGAUAACAGUUGGAAACGAUUGCUAAUACCGAAUAUUCUCUUUUUGUGGCAUCACAUUAAGAGGAAAGGUUACGCUUUAGGAUGGACCCGCGUCCCAUUAGCUAGUUGGUAAGGUAAUGGCUUACCAAGGCGACGAUGGGUAGCCGGCCUGAGAGGGUGUACGGCCACACUGGGACUGAGACACGGCCCAGACUCCUACGGGAGGCAGCAGUAGGGAAUAUUGCGCAAUGGAGGGAACUCUGACGCAGCGACGCCGCGUGAGCGAUGAAGGUCUUCGGAUCGUAAAGCUCUGUCCUUGGGGAAGAAGGGUGCAUUAUAGCAUCUGACG